UGCUACAGGCUUAACACAUGCAAGUCGAGGGGCAUCAGGAAGAAAGCUUGCUUUCUUUGCUGGCGACCGGCGCACGGGUGAGUAACACGUAUCCAACCUGCCCUUUACUCGGGGAUAGCCUUUCGAAAGAAAGAUUAAUACCCGAUGGCAUAAUGAUUCCGCAUGGUUUCAUUAUUAAAGGAUUCCGGUAAAGGAUGGGGAUGCGUUCCAUUAGGUUGUUGGUGAGGUAACGGCUCACCAAGCCUUCGAUGGAUAGGGGUUCUGAGAGGAAGGUCCCCCACAUUGGAACUGAGACACGGUCCAAACUCCUACGGGAGGCAGCAGUGAGGAAUAUUGGUCAAUGGGCGCUAGCCUGAACCAGCCAAGUAGCGUGAAGGAUGAAGGCUCUAUGGGUCGUAAACUUCUUUUAUAUAAGAAUAAAGUGCAGUAUGUAUACUGUUUUGUAUGUAUUAUAUGAAUAAGGAUCGGCUAACUCCGUGCCAGCAGCCGCGGUAAUACGGAGGAUCCGAGCGUUAUCCGGAUUUAUUGGGUUUAAAGGGAGCGUAGGUGGACUGGUAAGUCAGUUGUGAAAGUUUGCGGCUCAACCGUAAAAUUGCAGUUGAUACUGUCAGUCUUGAGUACAGUAGAGGUGGGCGGAAUUCGUGGUGUAGCGGUGAAAUGCUUAGAUAUCACGAAGAACUCCGAUUGCGAAGGCAGCUCACUGGACUGCAACUGACACUGAUGCUCGAAAGUGUGGGUAUCAAACAGGAUUAGAUACCCUGGUAGUCCACACAGUAAACGAUGAAUACUCGCUGUUUGCGAUAUACAGUAAGCGGCCAAGCGAAAGCAUUAAGUAUUCCACCUGGGGAGUACGCCGGCAACGGUGAAACUCAAAGGAAUUGACGGGGGCCCGCACAAGCGGAGGAACAUGUGGUUUAAUUCGAUGAUACGCGAGGAACCUUACCCGGGCUUAAAUUGCAGUGGAAUGAUGUGGAAACAUGUCAGUGAGCAAUCACCGCUGUGAAGGUGCUGCAUGGUUGUCGUCAGCUCGUGCCGUGAGGUGUCGGCUUAAGUGCCAUAACGAGCGCAACCCUUAUCUUCAGUUACUAACAGGUCAUGCUGAGGACUCUGGAGAGACUGCCGUCGUAAGAUGUGAGGAAGGUGGGGAUGACGUCAAAUCAGCACGGCCCUUACGUCCGGGGCUACACACGUGUUACAAUGGGGGGUACAGAAGGCAGCUAGCGGGUGACCGUAUGCUAAUCCCAAAAGCCUCUCUCAGUUCGGAUCGAAGUCUGCAACCCGACUUCGUGAAGCUGGAUUCGCUAGUAAUCGCGCAUCAGCCACGGCGCGGUGAAUACGUUCCCGGGCCUUGUACACACCGCCCGUCAAGCCAUGGGAGCCGGGGGUACCUGAAGUACGUAACCGCAAGGAUCGUCCUAGGGUAAAACUGGUGACUGG
This 1437-nucleotide ribosomal RNA is filed under the name uncultured organism. Its description in RNAcentral is "SSU rRNA". It matches the Rfam family "Bacterial small subunit ribosomal RNA". The record is from RNAcentral.